RNAcentral lists this ribosomal RNA (527 nucleotides) under Schwanniomyces polymorphus var. polymorphus. RNAcentral describes it as "eukaryotic LSU rRNA". It matches the Rfam family "Eukaryotic large subunit ribosomal RNA", at positions 114 to 657 of the family's 3401-position model. The record is from RNAcentral. Lineage: Eukaryota; Fungi; Ascomycota; Pichiomycetes; Serinales; Debaryomycetaceae.
UUUGAAAUCUGGCACCUUCGGUGUCCGAGUUGUAAUUUGAAGAAGGUAACUUUGGAGUUGGCUCUUGUCUAUGUUCCUUGGAACAGGACGUCACAGAGGGUGAGAAUCCCGUGCGAUGAGAUGCCCAAUUCUAUGUAAAGUGCUUUCGAAGAGUCGAGUUGUUUGGGAAUGCAGCUCUAAGUGGGUGGUAAAUUCCAUCUAAAGCUAAAUAUUGGCGAGAGACCGAUAGCGAACAAGUACAGUGAUGGAAAGAUGAAAAGAACUUUGAAAAGAGAGUGAAAAAGUACGUGAAAUUGUUGAAAGGGAAGGGCUUGAGAUCAGACUUGGUAUUUUGCAAGCCUUACCUUCGUGGUGGGGUCCCCUGCAGUUUACUGGGCCAGCAUCGGUUUGGAUGGUAGGAUAAUGACUUGGGAAUGUGACUUUGCUUCGGUAAAGUGUUAUAGCCCUUGUUGAUACUGCCUGUCUAGACCGAGGACUGCGUCUUUGACUAGGAUGCUGGCAUAAUGAUCUUAAGUCGCCCGUCUUGA